GGGGUAUUUGGGUUUUUUCUUUCUCAUUUCCUUUCAAUAUUAUGUUAUUGUAUUAUAUUUCUGAAUGAUUAUAUUGAAUUAUUCUUGUUUUAUUGUCAUCACUUGUCUUCUGAAAACCUUUUUCCCUUUCAAAAAGAAUUUGAAUAUUCUGAACCAAGUUUAACCAAUUAAUCACCCUUUGGGCAUUAUGAAUAUCAUUAUCAAUACACUACUUUAAACUUCAUUUCUCUAAAUAAAAUACUGUAAAACUUCAUACAUAUGAAUUACAAUGGUACAUGUAAUGGGAUAUUGCAUUUUCGUUAAGAUAGUGUGUGACUAACCCCUCCAACUAGUCUUACUUUAUUUACCAAUUAGUUAAUUAUAACUCAUUCUAGUCUAACCGCAGUAACUGACAAGUUAAUAUUAAUUCCUUCUACUAUUCUUAUUGCAGUAAAACAAGAUAAUUUUAACUCCUUCUACUAGUCUUACUGUAGAAAAUAAAGCUUUUAUAUUAACCCCUUCUACUAGUCUUUGAUUUAGUAAGUAGCAAGUUAAUAUUAACUCCUUCUAGUCUUACUGUAGUAACUGACAAGUUAAUAUUAACCCCUUCUACUAGUCUUACUGUAGUAAAACAAGAUAAUUUUAACUCCUUCUACUUGUCUUGCUGUAGAAACUAAAGCGUUAAUAUUAACCCCUUCUACAGGUCCCUACUGUAGUUACCAUUUAGGUAAUAUUAACUACUCCCAGUAGUCUUACCUUAGUAGGAAGUUAAUAGUAAACCCUCACACUAGUUCUACCGUAGUAACAAACAAGGUAAUAUAAACAGUACACAAAUACUGAACUCUAAGGAAAGUCUCUAAUCAAAUGGUAAAAUCAAAAGGUCAAACACAUGAAUUGAAUGGACAACAACUGUCAUAUUCCUGACUUGGUGCAGGCAUUCCCACUAUUCUCACUUCAAUAGGAAUGAAAUAUUAAACCCUCCUACUAGUGUUACUGUAGUUACUAAUAAAGUUGACAUUUGGUUUAAAAGAACUGAGCUGGGAAUUAGUUCCACUAGUAAUCUCCUUUUAAAACACGAUGGAUGAUUAUAUAUAUACUAAAGUAAAGAUAAAAAAGAAGAUGUGGUAUGAUUGCCAAUGAGACAACUGUCCAUAAGAGACCAAAAUGGCACAGACAUUAACAACUAUAGGUCACCGUACAGCCUACAACAAUGAGCAAAGCCCAUACCGCACAGUCAGCUAUAAAAGGCCCAGACAUGACAAUGUAAAACAAUUCAAAUGAGAAGACUAACAGCCUUAUUGUAUAAAAAAUGUACGAAAAACAAAUCUGUAACACAUAAACAAACGCAACCACUGAAUUACAGGCUC
Molecule: long non-coding RNA, 1346 nt
Filed under: Mytilus galloprovincialis (Mediterranean mussel)
Lineage: Eukaryota; Metazoa; Mollusca; Bivalvia; Mytilida; Mytilidae
Source: RNAcentral